UACGUAGGGCGCAAGCGUUGUCCGGAAUUAUUGGGCGUAAAGAGCUCGUAGGCGGUUUGUCGCGUCUGCUGUGAAAACCUAAGGCUCAACCUCGGGACUGCAUUGGAUACUGGCAGACUUGAGUGCGGUAGAGGCAAGUGGAAUUCCAGGUGUAGCGGUGAAAUGCGUAGAUAUCUGGAAGAACACCGGUGGCGCAAGCGACUUGCUGGGCCGUAACUGACACUGAGGAACGAAAGCUAGGGGAGCGAAUGGG
Molecule: ribosomal RNA, 253 nt
Filed under: uncultured bacterium
Lineage: Bacteria
Description: partial 16S ribosomal RNA
Rfam family: Bacterial small subunit ribosomal RNA
Source: RNAcentral